Molecule: transfer RNA, 73 nt
Filed under: Canis lupus familiaris (dog)
Lineage: Eukaryota; Metazoa; Chordata; Mammalia; Carnivora; Canidae
Also listed under: 1 other name
Rfam family: tRNA
About the family: Transfer RNA (tRNA) molecules are approximately 80 nucleotides in length. Their secondary structure includes four short double-helical elements and three loops (D, anti-codon, and T loops).
Source: Rfam by way of RNAcentral
GCCCGGCUGGCUCAAUCAGUAGAGCAUGUGACUCUUGAUCUCAAGGUUAUGAGUUCAAACUCCACUCUGGGUA